This 253-nucleotide ribosomal RNA is filed under the name uncultured bacterium. Its description in RNAcentral is "partial 16S ribosomal RNA". It matches the Rfam family "Bacterial small subunit ribosomal RNA", at positions 524 to 776 of the family's 1533-position model. The record is from RNAcentral.
UACGUAGGUGGCAAGCGUUGUCCGGAAUUAUUGGGCGUAAAGCGGGCGCAGGCGGGCUUUUAAGUCUGAUGUGAAAGCCCACGGCUCAACCGUGGAGGGUCAUUGGAAACUGGGAGACUUGAGUGCAGAAGAGAAGAGUGGAAUUCCACGUGUAGCGGUGAAAUGCGUAGAGAUGUGGAGGAACACCAGUGGCGAAGGCGACUCUUUGGUCUGCAACUGACGCUGAGGCGCGAAAGCGUGGGGAGCAAACAGG